This 403-nucleotide ribosomal RNA is filed under the name uncultured Eubacteriaceae bacterium. RNAcentral describes it as "bacterial SSU rRNA". It matches the Rfam family "Bacterial small subunit ribosomal RNA", at positions 379 to 774 of the family's 1533-position model. The record is from RNAcentral. Lineage: Bacteria; Bacillati; Bacillota; Clostridia; Eubacteriales; Eubacteriaceae.
AAGUCUGAUGGAGCAACGCCGGGUGAGUGAUGAAGGUUUUCGGAUCGUAAAACUCUGUUGUAAGGGAAGAACCAGUACGUCAGGCAAUGGACGUACCUUGACUGUACCUUAUUAGAAAGCCACGGCUAACUACGUGCCAGCAGCCGCGGUAAUACGUAGGUGGCAAGCGUUGUCCGGAUUUACUGGGCGUAAAGGGCACGCAGGCGGUUUUUUAAGUCAGAUGUGAAAGGUACCGGCUCAACCGGUGACAUGCAUUUGAAACUGAUAGACUUGAGUAUUGGAGAGGCAAGUGGAAUUCCUAGUGUAGCGGUGAAAUGCGUAGAUAUUAGGAGGAACACCGGUGGCGAAGGCGGCUUGCUGGACAAAUACUGACGCUGAGGUGCGAAAGCGUGGGGAGCAAACA